GAUGAAGAACGUAGCGAAAUGCGAUAAGUAGUGUGAAUUGCAGAAUUCAGUGAAUCAUCGAAUCUUUGAACGCACAUUGCGCCCCUUGGUAUUCCAUGGGGCAUGCCUGUUCGAGCGUCAUUUGUACCUUCAAGCUCUGCUUGGUGUUGGGUGUUUGUCUCGCCUCUGCGUGUAGACUCGCCUCAAAACAAUUGGCAGCCGGCGUAUUGAUUUCGGAGCGCAGUACUUCUCGCGCUUUGCACUCAUAACGACGACGUCCAAAAGUACAUUUUUACACUCUUGACCUCGGAUCAGGUAGGGAUACCCGCUGAACUUAAGCAUAUCAAUAACCGGAGGA
RNAcentral lists this unclassified non-coding RNA (337 nucleotides) under soil metagenome. Its description in RNAcentral is "partial contains 5.8S ribosomal RNA, internal transcribed spacer 2, and large subunit ribosomal RNA". The stretch from base 1 to 120 matches the Rfam family "5.8S ribosomal RNA", at positions 35 to 154 of the family's 154-position model. The record is from RNAcentral.